GGCAACCUGGUCUGAUCCUCUUCUACACUGUGGAAGCUUUGUUCUUUGCAAUAAAUCUUGCUAGUGCUAUGCACCACCUUAAGGGCUGUAACACUCACAGCAAAGUUCUGCAGUUUCACUCCUGAGCCAGCGAGACCACGAACCCACCAGAAGGGAGAAACUCUGAACACAUCUGAACGUCAGAAGGAACAAACUCCAGACGCGCCACGUUAAGAGCUGUAACGUUGGCGGCUUCAUUCUUUUAAGUCAGUGAGACCAAGAACCCACCAAUUCCGGACACACUAUGGUUAGGAGUUUGAGACCAGCGUGGCUAACAUGGUGAAACCCUGUAUCUACUUAAAAUUAGCCAGGCGUGGGGGCGGGCACCUGUAAUCUCAGAUACUUGGGAGGCUGAGGCACGAGAAUUGCUUGAGCCUGCGAGACGGAGAUUGCAGUGAGCCGAGAUAGCGCCAUUGCACUCUAGCCUGGACUACAGAGCAUGACUCAGUC
This 489-nucleotide long non-coding RNA is filed under the name Homo sapiens (human). Its description in RNAcentral is "HSALNT0391741". The record is from RNAcentral. Lineage: Eukaryota; Metazoa; Chordata; Mammalia; Primates; Hominidae.